CCUUUGUGUUUAUCUCCACUGAAUUCUGAAGCAGAGCUUCAUAACUCAAUCAAAAACAUCUCCUCGUAAAGGAGAUCCGUACAGAAAACCAUGGUUGACAUACUCACUUCCUUGAGGUCUCUCAUGGCUUCUCACUCUCCCCCUCUCGAUGCCUUAGUUGUUCCCUCUGAGGAUUAUCAUCAGAGCGAGUACGUGUCUGCGCGGGACGAGCGGCGGGGAGUUGUGUCUGGAUUCUCUGGAAGCGCAGGUUUGGCGCUUAUUACAAUGAAUGAAGCCCGGCUAUGGACGGAUGGAAGAUAUUUCUUGCAGGCAACACGACAACUCAGUGAUCAGUGGACACUCAUGCGUAUGGGAGAAGACCCUCCAGUGG
RNAcentral lists this unclassified non-coding RNA (370 nucleotides) under Hevea brasiliensis (rubber tree). The record is from RNAcentral. Lineage: Eukaryota; Viridiplantae; Streptophyta; Magnoliopsida; Malpighiales; Euphorbiaceae.